AAAUCCAUCAUGAUUAUUAUUUUAGGGAAAUAAUAAGAAAAUGAAUGACCUGCUUCAUCCAAGUGGGCAUCCAUGAAUGCUUCCAUUUCCACAUAGACUUUUGGAGCAGACGAUAUCGUAUUAUCUGAUAGAGGAGUGUACAAGCAAUAAACCUGACAGCUCUGUAAAACAAAUCAUCAUACAUCAACAGUUUCUCAAGGCCAGGCAACAAUAAGAAAAGACAGAAGUGCUCUUAUUCAUGUUUAAGGAAUGAAGAUUCCUUACUCUUCACCAACCCUGAAAGCCACAUGAACCUGUCUUUUGGGCUACAAACAUGAGAACAGGAGAAACAUCAAUACCAGUAGAGGAGGAAUCUUAGGAAUACCAGCACCGUAUCCUAAAGGAGUGCUACCCAAGUGGGAGAGAGCUCUGAGACCACCUUGCAGAGAUCUUCCACAUCUCUGUGGUCAGCUGCCCAUCCACGAGGUCAAGAGAUUGGAUGACAUCCUCUCAAAGUUCUCUUCAGGCUCUGAGAUUCUGUGAUACUUUAAGAGAGCUGUGUGGCAAACAAGUAGGAGGCAGGGACUUACCAACUGGCUGUGUGGAUUUAGAUGAAGCAAGUUACAGAAACUCCCUGGGCCUCAGUUCUUCAAUCUGCAAAGGGAGGAGAUUGAGCUGUAUAUCUCCCGAGGUCCUUCUAGCUCUGACAUUGCAUGCUGUUGUAACAAAGUUCAAAUGGAGACGGGGAUUUGAGGACAAACUUCUGGGUGCCACAUAAAUGAUUUCCAAAGGUUUAAAACAAUGUAGUCAGGGCCUUUAUAAUUAAAAAUGAAAAAAGUCUCAGCUUGUUUUGUAGCACUAAUGCAGAACUUGAGAUUUGUGUAAGCAAUAGGAUUAUUUUUAGACAGAUUAAGGGUCUAGAGAAAACUUGUCACACGUCAAUCUUUUAAAAAUGCAGUGUCAUGUUUUUUCCCAAAGUUUUCCUGUAAGGUUUAAUUAGUUAACAUACAGUGAAAUAUUAGUUUCAGGCAUUAGUGACAUGUUUUUUUUUAUUUUUUAAAAAGGCACUUAAAGAAAUGCUAUAUCCUUGGUAAUAUGGUAUGUCAGAUAGGCCUAUAAAGCUUUUCACAAUAGGAACAUCACAAAUUUAUUUCAAAAUUGUAAAUAAUAAAGCUUUUACCCAAGGGAGAUGAAACUGAAGGUGAAGCUUCAGUUCCAAAGAGGUGUCAAACUUUCAUGGUUUGAUGAUUUGUAUCAAUCAUAAAAAUCUUUCUAAAUUAUAUUAAAUCAGUUUGCAGAAUGCAUAUUUGAAUACCAUGGUAGAUCCUAUGUAAAACAAGUUAAUUUAACACAAUGUUUUAUGACAAAGGGAUAAAUGACCUCUCCAGAAAUAGAUACUAUAGGCACCAAGGGACUUUGAUAAGCACAAGAACCUGCCCUAGGGUCUCUACUCCAUAAUAAUCUGGACUCCAUGGCACACACUGAAAAAGAAGCUGUUAAAGAUGCAAAUAGUGAGUAAAGUCCAUGGUAAUAUUUUUUGAAUGGGUUAAUAAUUAUUUAUUUGGAAUACAUGUAUUGUGUCAUUGAGUAAAGUCAAGUCUUUGUCAAUCAAGUACUCUUAGUAAAUAGAUACAAAAUGCAAUUCAAAAUUUAGCAUUGAGGGCAGCCUGGGUGGCUCAGCAGUUUAGCGCCGCCUUCGGCCCAGGGCAUGAUCCAGGAGACCCAGGGUCGAGUCCUACAUCAGGCUCCCUGCAUGGACCAGCUUCUCCCUCUGCCUGUGUCUCUGCCUCUCUGUCUCUCUGUUUCUCAUGAAUAAAUAAAUAAAAUCUUAAAAAAAAUUAGCAUUGAAAUUGAGCCAGACUUCUGUCAGGAACUGCUCAAUUUUAUUCAUUCUACUCCAGAUUCAUUAUAAAAUAAAGUAGACAGGGAUAUCUGGGAAUAGUUUCUUUAUUCCCUUGAGACCACGUUUUAUUUUAACAGCUUUAUUAGCUGUUAAUUUACAUAAUUUCUCAUUAUUAUGAGAAAUUUACAUAACAUAA
Long non-coding RNA from Canis lupus familiaris (dog), 2018 nucleotides. RefSeq lists it as uncharacterized. Lineage: Eukaryota; Metazoa; Chordata; Mammalia; Carnivora; Canidae. The record is from RefSeq and is a predicted model, not a curated record. The transcript has 3 exons.